RNAcentral lists this unclassified non-coding RNA (793 nucleotides) under Hevea brasiliensis (rubber tree). The record is from RNAcentral. Lineage: Eukaryota; Viridiplantae; Streptophyta; Magnoliopsida; Malpighiales; Euphorbiaceae.
CUUUACUAUCUCACGCUUGGUUCUUUCUUAUCGAUUCUUGUUGGGACUCGCGUGUCUCGCUUGAGUCUUGUUUAUUUCUUUGAUUUCGUUGCUGUUACUACCUCUACCAUCACUGGUUGGUGUGUAAUCGCCUCCUUUCUCUUUAGCUCCAUUGCUGGAGCUGGAUAUAUGCUUUACUUGAUUGAGAGGGCAAAGAAGUGUUUAGAUUUUUCUGCAACCCUCUACGUCAUCCAUCUUUUUAUAUGCAUUAUUUAUGGAGGUUGGCCUUCCUCAAUUACAUGGUGGAUUGUGAAUGGUACUGGACUUGCAGUGAUGGCUUUGCUGGGCGAAUAUCUGUGCAUUAGACGUGAACUUCGAGAGAUUCCAAUCACGCGAUACCGAUCAAAUGUUUGAUUGACAAGGAAAACUCCAUAGGAAGGAACAGACUUGGUUCUGGACCUGUACUUUUUGCUUACGGAAAAGUUUGAAGGAGCUAUUGGAUGAAGCUUGUGAGAUAUGAAAUCCAAACUAUGAUAGGAUGAGUAUUUUUAGUCUACUGAUUCUAUUGGCUGUGCUGAAGGUAAUGAUAUGGAAUGGCCACAGAAAAUGGAGAUGGUUGGUCAAUUAUGGGGUGAUAGAGCAUGUGAGACUAGGAAACCCUCAGUGUACAAUUGUGGGUGGUUUCUGGGGAAGAUGCUUGUUGUUGUUCUGAUAUUAUUUUCUGGUUCAGUACCUUAUUUUAAUAUGAAUUUGGAUGAGUUUCCAUGAACUGAGAAAAUGUUGUUCCUCGUGUCUUUAGACUUUUUAGGGCUGG